Molecule: ribosomal RNA, 304 nt
Filed under: uncultured bacterium
Lineage: Bacteria
Description: partial 16S ribosomal RNA
Rfam family: Bacterial small subunit ribosomal RNA
Source: RNAcentral
CAGCAGCCGCCGCGGGAAUACGGAGGAUCCGAGCGUUAUCCGGAAUUAUUGGGUUUAAAGGGUGCGUAGGCGGAUAGAUAAGUCAGUGGUGAAAGACGGUGGCUCAACCAUCGCAGUGCCGUUGAUACUGUUUAUCUUGAAUAUGGAUGAGGUAGGCGGAAUGUGGCAAGUAGCGGUGAAAUGCAUAGAUAUGCCACAGAACACCGAUUGCGAAGGCAGCUUACCAAGGCAAAAUUGACGCUGAGGCACGAAAGCGUGGGGAUCGAACAGGAUUAGAUACCCGCGUAGUCCCUGUCUCUUAUAC